Papio anubis (olive baboon) is the source of this 1735-nucleotide long non-coding RNA. Lineage: Eukaryota; Metazoa; Chordata; Mammalia; Primates; Cercopithecidae. The record is from Ensembl.
GUUUUGGAUGAGAUUAAUAUUUAAAUUGGUGGACUUCGAGUAAAGCUGAUUACCCUCCAUAAUGUAGGCAGGCCUCAUGCAAUCAACUGAAAUUCUUAGUAGAACAAAGACUGACCCCUACCCCCCAAGAGGGAACUGUGCCAGCAGACUGCCUCAGGACUCCAACUGCAACGCUUCCCUGGGUCUCCAGCCUGCUGGUCUACCCUGCAGAUUUUAGACUACCAGGCCUCCAUAAUUACGUAAGCCAAUUCUUUAAAAUCAGUCUCUCUCUCUCAAUAUUCAUAUACUAAAUCCUGUUGGUUGUUUCUCUGCAUCUAUUAAUAGGAGAAUCCUAACAGUGUUCUUCAACAACAACAUGAGAUGAAGAUUAUUCCACCCUAAAGGAUUGUUGUAAAAGUCAAAUGAAGCAAAAUAAAUUGAAAGUCUCUACCUCAAUAAGUUCUUCUGAAACUCGGAAGGAAAAGGAUGCCUCAAAAUUUCAAAGUCUUUUUCAUCCCACCACAGAUGCGGUCAGUAUCAAUCUGCUGGCUCUUAGACUCUGUUCAUGGAGGUGUCAAACUUUGUUAUCAGGUGUGCUGUUAAUGCCUAGCAGGCAACACGUCCUGAACUGGACCCCAUUCAGCACAGACACAUCACACUUCAGGUAUUUUGAUCAUGAGCCUGAUCCUGGGGCCUAUCCUGCUUCUGUCACUUCUAGUAAGGAGUACAAUCUCCAUUGUUCAGGACAGGACUCCUGGACUUGUGUUAUCUAUCUCACUUCCAAGGAUACAGCUAAAGAGAGUAAAAGCCCAUGGCUGCCACAAUUUCUUCCUGAAAUGAGGAGAGCUUCAGGGAGAUGACUCAAGGACCUCACUAAGUGCUCCCUAAAGUUCGAAAUUAUGGACAGUGUUGGACUUCAGCCUGGAAAUCUAGAAGACAAGAGACACAGAUGGUGAAUUGAUUUGGUGGUGGAUUAAAAAAGAGUAGUUGCUUUGUUGGGAAGGCUGGUACUCCUUGAGCUUGCCAGGACAAGGAUUAAUGCAUGUUUCCUGAAGACCAUAUGGGGGCCACAUGAAGAGAAAGUGAGCCAGAAACUAUUUUCAAGAUCUUUUCCAAGAGGACUACCUGAAAAAAUUAUGGGACCAUGAUGUUGAGACUUAGUGUGAAGUGGACCAUUGAAAAACCCAGCCAAGUAAGAAAGAAGCAGCUGAAGGAAGAGAAUACACAGCCAAUGUCAUAGGAGUUUCCAUUAGAAGGGCCCAACAGAAUAGGCUCUCAAGAACCCACCAAAGACAGGAGAAAGAGUCUAAUGAAGCCAUUUUACAAGUGUACCAGUCAAGUAACUACUUUCCUAUGGAAGGAAGAACUUUUAGCUGCGGCUCAGGUAAGGAGAUCAACAAAGCUUAUCCCCUACCCCCAAAGCAACUAUAAAUCUAGAUAUAAUUAACAAAAACAACCAUUUCAGCACUCUGGAAAUCAAUCAAAGGCGUAUAACAAUCUGAGAAGUAUUUAUACUUUAAAAACUGCUAAACUUUGGGUAAGAAUAGUGGAACUCUUUGGUGUUCUAGCUUGUGACUGAGUCAAAUCAUUGGCUGACCACUAUAGUAGGCAGACACAAGGAUGACCCUUAGAAAGUCAAUCUUAUAAAUAAAAGCUUGAGUAAAUAAAAAGCUUGAAUAUUAAAAACAAAACUGAGCCGAGACAUCAUUGUUCACAUGCUGCAGGUUUCACUGAUUCAGCCAAGGCACGUUAUAAC